This 302-nucleotide ribosomal RNA is filed under the name uncultured prokaryote. RNAcentral describes it as "bacterial SSU rRNA". It matches the Rfam family "Bacterial small subunit ribosomal RNA", at positions 338 to 658 of the family's 1533-position model. The record is from RNAcentral.
CCUAGGGCGGCAGCAGUAGGGAAUAUUCGUAAUGGGCGAAAGCCUGAACUAGCAAUACCGCGUGUGCGAGGAAGGCCUUCGGGUUGUAAAGCACUUUUUGAGAGGAUGAGGAAGGACGGUACUCUCAGAAUAAGUCUCGGCUAACUACGUGCCAGCAGCCGCGGUAACACGUAGGAGGCAAACGUUAUCCGGAUUUACUGGGCGUAAAGCGCGUGUAGGUGGUUUGGUAAGUAGAGCGUGAAAGCUCCUGGCUCAACUGGGAGAGGUCGUUCUAAACUGCCGGACUAGAGGAUGGUAGAGGG